CCUACGGGUGGCAGCAGUGAGGAAUAUUGGUCAAUGGCCGGAAGGCUGAACCAGCCAUGCCGCGUGAAGGUCAGUGCCCUAUGGGCGUUAAACUUCUUUUGUGCGGGAGCAAUAAUGGUCACGUGUGGCCAGACGAGAGUACCGUACGAAUAAGCAUCGGCUAACUCCGUGCCAGCAGCCGCGGUAAUACGGGGGAGGCAAGCGUUGUCCGGAUUUAUUGGGUGUAAAGGGUGCGUAGGCUGGGAGUUAAGUCAGCGGUGAAAUGCCCCCGGUCAACGGGGUGAAGUGCCAUUGAUACUGACAUGCUGGAGUGCAGAUGCGGUGGGAGGAAUGUGUGGUGUAGCGGUGAAAUGCAUAGAUAUCACACAGAACACCGGUUGCGAAGGCAUCUUGCGGAUCCGCGAUUGACGCUGAGGCACGAAAGCGUGGGUAGCAAACAGGAUUAGAUACCCCUGUAGUC
This 460-nucleotide ribosomal RNA is filed under the name uncultured bacterium. Its description in RNAcentral is "partial 16S ribosomal RNA". It matches the Rfam family "Bacterial small subunit ribosomal RNA", at positions 338 to 795 of the family's 1533-position model. The record is from RNAcentral.